AUGCUGAUCUCUUGGAAGCUCUGGAAGGAGCGCAAUGUGAGGGUCUUUCAAAACACCGUCACUCCUCCAACGGUCAUGGUUCGCAACAUCAAAGAAGAUAUUCGUUCGUGGGUGCUCACGGGUGCUAUGCACUUGGGUCGUGUUUGGUUGCUCGCAUGA
Molecule: ribosomal RNA, 159 nt
Filed under: Triticum aestivum (bread wheat)
Lineage: Eukaryota; Viridiplantae; Streptophyta; Magnoliopsida; Poales; Poaceae
Description: partial small subunit ribosomal RNA
Source: RNAcentral